UGGGGCAGAGAAGGUUGAGGUGUCCGCUCUGCACCCACAGGCUACUGCUACUAUAAGCUCCAGGGUGCCUUCUCCUCAGAUCGCCUGGGCUGUUUCACCAAGUGCCUGAAGCCGUGCAGUGUGACCAGUUACAAGCUCUCUGCAGGUUACUCGCGAUGGCCCUCAGUGACAUCCCAGGACUGGGUCUUCCGGAUGUUAUCCCUACAGAAUAAUUACACCAUCAAAAACAAGAGAAACGGAGUUGCCAAACUCAAUGUCUUCUUCAAGGAGCUGAACUACAAAACCAAUUCUGAGUCUCCCUCCGUCACGAUGGCCACCCCC
Myotis brandtii (Brandt's bat) is the source of this 321-nucleotide long non-coding RNA. RefSeq lists it as uncharacterized. The record is from RefSeq and is a predicted model, not a curated record. Lineage: Eukaryota; Metazoa; Chordata; Mammalia; Chiroptera; Vespertilionidae. The transcript has 5 exons.